CUUUAGGAACAUUAUUACAAUGCAGAAGAUAAGCCUGGUUAUCUGGCAUGGAGACUGAAGUUUGUUCAAAAGGAAGCAUCAGAGGUACAAAAGAAGACACUCUAUCCGUCAAUAACAGGUGGUCCAAAAGCUCAAAGAAACGCCUUCAGAGAGGAAAACUUUCAGUCUUCUGAAAUAUUCACAGUAUUUCCACAAUUUUUAGAAAUAGGAGGAAUGAUUGAGCAGGACUUCAGUCUGGUGUUUGGUGAUGCUGCCUCUGCAAAGUUUCUGGAGAAGUGGCCAGCUGUUUAUAAGCAGAAGAUUCUUGAGCAAAGCCUUGGUCUCACACAGACUGCUGGCCUUCAAAAUGCUGAAUCCAUGACAGAAAUGGAAAAUGGGUGGGACAGUGACAUGUCAUCCAUUUUUAUCCUUGUCCACCUUCUGCCACCAUCACCUCAUGGUCGCAAGAGACCAGGAAAGCUCUCAGCCAGACAAGCC
Molecule: long non-coding RNA, 477 nt
Organism: Lates calcarifer (barramundi perch)
Lineage: Eukaryota; Metazoa; Chordata; Actinopteri; Centropomidae
Exons: 4
Source: RefSeq, a predicted model, not a curated record